This 325-nucleotide ribosomal RNA is filed under the name uncultured eukaryote. Its description in RNAcentral is "partial 18S ribosomal RNA". It matches the Rfam family "Eukaryotic small subunit ribosomal RNA", at positions 1470 to 1796 of the family's 1831-position model. The record is from RNAcentral.
CCCUUAGAUGUCCUGGGCCGCACGCGCGCUACACUGAUGCAUUCAACGAGUUUUUCCUUGGCCGAGAGGCCUGGGCAAUCUUUUAAACGUGCAUCGUGAUAGGGAUAGAUUAUUGCAAUUAUUAAUCUUGAACGAGGAAUUCCUAGUAAACGCAAAUCAUCAAUUUGCAUUGAUUACGUCCCUGCCCUUUGUACACACCGCCCGUCGCACCUACCGAUUGAAUGGUCCGGUGAAGCCUCGGGAUUGUGGCCAGUUCACUUUAUUGGGAGUUGGCUGCGAGAACUUGUCUAAACCUUNUNAUUUAGNGGAAGGUGAANUCGUANCA